RNAcentral lists this ribosomal RNA (497 nucleotides) under uncultured bacterium. RNAcentral describes it as "partial 16S ribosomal RNA". It matches the Rfam family "Bacterial small subunit ribosomal RNA", at positions 28 to 507 of the family's 1533-position model. The record is from RNAcentral.
GACGAACGCUGGCGGCGUGCCUAAUACAUGCAAGUAGAACGCUGAAGAGAGGAGCUUGCUCUUCUUGGAUGAGUUGCGAACGGGUGAGUAACGCGUAGGUAACCUGCCUUGUAGCGGGGGAUAACUAUUGGAAACGAUAGCUAAUACCGCAUAACAAUGGAUGACACAUGUCAUUUAUUUGAAAGGGGCAAUUGCUCCACUACAAGAUGGACCUGCGUUGUAUUAGCUAGUAGGUGAGGUAAUGGCUCACCUAGGCGACGAUACAUAGCCGACCUGAGAGGGUGAUCGGCCACACUGUGACUGAGACACGGCCCAGACUCCUACGGGAGGCAGCAGUAGGGAAUCUUCGGCAAUGGGGGCAACCCUGACCGAGCAACGCCGCGUGAGUGAAGAAGGUUUUCGGAUCGUAAAGCUCUGUUGUAAGUCAAGAACGGGUGUGAGAGUGGAAAGUUCACACUGUGACGGUAGCUUACCAGAAAGGGACGGCUAACUACGUG